GAUGAAGAACGCAGCGAAAUGCGAUAAGUAAUGUGAAUUGCAGAAUUCAGUGAAUCAUCGAAUCUUUGAACGCACAUUGCGCUCAAGGCUUCGGCCAAGAGCAUGUCUGCCUCAGCGUCGUUUCACCCCCUCGCCUCCCCACCUCUGGAGUCCUUCACUGGGCUGUGGUGGCCUUGGCACAAGCCUGAAUCAAGCGCUGUGUCAACAUGGAGGCGGACCUGACCGUCCCAGGCUUACUCCCUGGCCUGGGUCGGUUGAAGCACAGAGGCUUGAGCUGGGACCCGCCAUGGGCAGCGGCUGGAUAGGUAGGUACAGCUUCGGCUGUCUACACGAAGCCGUUUGCUUGGAGCCCAGCUGGGAGCCCAAGAGCAGGAAGCCCAAACUUCCGACCUGAGCUCAGGCAAGAUUACCCGCUGAACUUAAGCAUAUCAAUAAGCGGAGGA
RNAcentral lists this unclassified non-coding RNA (443 nucleotides) under soil metagenome. RNAcentral describes it as "partial contains 5.8S ribosomal RNA, internal transcribed spacer 2, and large subunit ribosomal RNA". The stretch from base 1 to 120 matches the Rfam family "5.8S ribosomal RNA", at positions 35 to 154 of the family's 154-position model. The record is from RNAcentral.